UAUAUAUAGUAGUGAACUGAACUCUUAAAAUACACAAAAAGGGGGCCUGGAAUGUAGCAUGCUCCCUUAGCAAUUCCAAAGCCCUGAGUUUGACCCCCAGCACAAUGAAAAAAAUGGGAUGAGGUUACAGACCUGUGAUCUCAGUACUGAGAAGGUGGAAGCAGGAAGAUCAGAUGUUCAAGUUCACCCUUGACCACAUAGCGAUUCGAGCCAGUUGAGGUGCCUGAAACCCUUCUGUCCCCAAAAGGUGUUUUAAUCAUAACCACUGAGAUAGGAUUUAAUAUCUUUGGUAAGAAUCAUCAGCCACUUGGGCCAUCCACUGCCUCAUUUUGCUUCUUCCCUGCUGUGUGGCCACUUGCCAGUCACUUAACCUCUCUGGGGCUCAGUUUGCCAAUGAAUAAAUUAGGACUUCUGGUAUCUUUGUGCCAGUAUGACCAUCUCAGUGGUGCUUUCUCCCCUGAGAGUUGCUUUCUUUGCCCCCACGGUUCGAGUUACUCUGUCAGCCCCGCACUUUGUGCUUAUUAAGUCUGAGUGUUCUCCUUUUCUGCCUUUCCCCACAGGGCUGAUCAUUCUCAGCAUCUAGACCUGGAACAGAACGGGAGCGAGGAUGUCUGGUGCCUAGUCAGAUCCACACCCGAGGAGUGUCCGCGUGUGCACAGCUGGCUGCUCGGGGCUCGAGUGGAGGCCCUAAUAUGAAUGGAGACCUAGUCUGCUGGUUGAGACCUUGGCAGUGACCACUGUGGGCAAUGAGCCAUCGACCAACAAUUCCCUUAGGAAAAGACCCAGGCUGUUUUAGGAUAAACAGCAGGCCCCAGCCCUGCCCCAUGGAUCUCUGUGCAGAGAGGAGAAGGUCUGGUGAUUGCUUCCAAGACGAGCGGUGGUCUUCAGCCUUGCAGGAAUGUUGUACACUUGAGAUGUGGGUAUGAAGAAUCUCUCAGGAAGGUAACGGCCCCUGGUGGAAUCAUAUGUGGACACUGCCCCUUUCAGGACUUAUUUUGAAUUGAACCUGUCUUAGCUGUUGAGAAAGGAGUUAAAGGACUUGCAGGAACUCUUCAGUUCAAUGAUGCGCUCCUCUUGGUACCUGAAUGAUUCUAAGCCUCUGUGGGGCAGGAAGAAAGGGACUCAG
Microtus ochrogaster (prairie vole) is the source of this 1126-nucleotide long non-coding RNA. RefSeq lists it as uncharacterized. The transcript is spliced from 5 exons. The record is from RefSeq and is a predicted model, not a curated record. Lineage: Eukaryota; Metazoa; Chordata; Mammalia; Rodentia; Cricetidae.